Molecule: ribosomal RNA, 197 nt
Filed under: uncultured bacterium
Lineage: Bacteria
Description: partial 16S ribosomal RNA
Rfam family: Bacterial small subunit ribosomal RNA
Source: RNAcentral
GGCUGAGAUUCGCCUUCAUGAAGCCGGAAUUGCUAGUAAUGGCAGGUCAGCAUACUGCCGUGAAUACGUUCCCGGGCCCUUGUACACACCGCCCGUCACACCAUGAGAGUUGGGAAUACCCGAAGCCUGUGAGCUAACGCAAGAGGCAGCAGUCGAAGGUAGAAUCAAUGAUUGGGGUGAAGUCGUAACAAGGUAGC